UACAGAGGUCUCAAGCGUUGUUCGGAUUCAUUGGGCGUAAAGGGCGCGUAGGCGGCAAGGUAAGUCGGGUGUGAAAGCUUGGGGCUUAACCCCGAAAGGGCACUCGAAACUGCCCUGCUAGAGGGCCGGAGAGGAGAUCGGAAUUCACGGUGUAGCAGUGAAAUGCGUAGAGCUCGUGAGGAAGACCGGUGGCGAAGGCGGAUCUCUGGACGGCCCCUGACGCUGAGGCGGCGAAGGCUAGGGGAGCAAACGGGG
This 255-nucleotide ribosomal RNA is filed under the name uncultured bacterium. RNAcentral describes it as "partial 16S ribosomal RNA". It matches the Rfam family "Bacterial small subunit ribosomal RNA", at positions 524 to 777 of the family's 1533-position model. The record is from RNAcentral.